Molecule: long non-coding RNA, 4756 nt
Filed under: Daphnia pulex (common water flea)
Lineage: Eukaryota; Metazoa; Arthropoda; Branchiopoda; Diplostraca; Daphniidae
Description: uncharacterized LOC124197199
Source: RNAcentral
CUUUUUGUUUUGCCAUUUGAUCAAGUCACAAAACGAAAAAAAAAGUAGAAAAAAAGUAGGCCAUGCACAAAACUAUGCUAAUUAUUAAUCUUAAAGACCAAAAUCCAUUGGGACACAGGUGUCUAACUUAAUUAGUGAUGAAAAAUGGGUGGGAAAUACUUAAAGUAACUGAAAUAGUCUAAUGGUGGAACUGGAAAGAGAGUGUGUGCUUAAUGCUGAUGUUGCAGUUGUGACAGCAUGGCUGAAAAUCUAUUCAAUUGAGACUAACUGUAACAUAAAAAUAAAAAAACAUGAUCACUCUGACAAAUAAACGGCAUCCAUUGGUCGCAUGACAAGGUAGCCCAGCUGGCGGAAGGAUCCGGAACGAUUCGAACAUGAAGGCACUGAUCGCUACCAACGCCGCUAGCAUUGCUGGGCUCUCCAUAAAACCAAUUGACGAAAGUGAACGGAGUCUGUGCAGUCCACGAGAAAGUUUUCGUUCCCGUGUUGUAGUUACCCGACGUCCAGACGCCUAUCUUCGAUGCGAUAGCAUCUAUACCACAUCACACAAUUGAUCGUUGCAUUUCAACCACUGGUUCGUCCGAUCCUGCUUGGUCCACCUUCACUGCAUACUGUUCACUAGCUUGCACUGCAUUCACGAAUUGUGUGGUUAGAAAUGAAUAGUGGAAUAGAAAUUGGAAUCUUACCUUUGAACAAGACCAAACCGAAGAUGUAAACCAAUUGUAUUGGGAAAUUAAAUGAGCGCAUUGUCAGAAUAUGGACGUACUUCUUGACGGAGUGGAUGUGUUCUUCGAUCUGAAGGUAUAACAUGAACAUCUUCAUGGCGAAAUAUCUUCCUGUAAAAUGAAACCAGUGAAAUGAGUCUGGUUGUCUGAAUCGUCAAACAGUUCGACUCCCUUCGGAGAAAGGGUAACCGGGACGAUGUGAUCCUCCGGUGGGUUGCCAUCACGUACGAAACUUAACCCGACUGCAUUGCCGUUUAGGAAAAGACUUACUCCAAGCUUAGACGGAGAUGGUGGGAAGAUCGCCACUCCGGUGAAGGAAAAGAAAUAAGUUCCGUCACGAGGGGUCGUGAAAAUUCCCGUUGAUUUAUCCAUGGCAUCUCCAGUGUUCACCACUUCAAUUUCGUAAGGAAUCGGAGUAUUCAUCGUGGAGAAUCCGGUAUUUUUCUGGACGUAAAAGUAAGUUGGUGUUGAUUUCACGUCCUCGUAACCAAUCCAUUUCUGAAAAUCUAUUUAGACGGCACCGUUUUUUAAGUAACACUUGGAAACAAUAGAAUCGGCAAUUCUUUUUACCCGCUCCGUUGGGUUGUUUGGUGAAAUCGCAGUAAACAGUUUCGAUUUGCUUUUUCCCCAUUACGGAAUAUAAUCCGCUUUUCCUAUGUCCAAUAUCCAUUAGAUCUUUACACGAAUUGGGGAUUCUAUCAAUCGAUGCGGCACUUGUACCCGCUGCCAAUGAGCAAACGGAGAUUCAAAUAGUGUUUCAAUAAUUGGAUUGUUUUAUUCACGUCAAGCAGUUUCAUUACAUAAUGUAAUAAGUUUCCAUUUUAAAAUUUAGAUAGUUUUACCGUCCAACUUGGUUGCAAGAGUCCCGAUUUGCGUUUUGGUUUCAGAUGAGCUUAGUGAAGUCACUGCAAAAUAUUAAAUAAUUCUUUUGUAAUUUCCUGGUUUUGGUUGAGAAAAUUUAUUACCUUGCAAAUCAGUUUUUAUGACAUCAACCUCAGUCUUGGUGUCCGUCAGAUCUUUCAUUGUAGCUGCAACCAUGGACAAAUGAGUUAAAUUGCUUCCGCUUUUUCAAUUAUUUCUUGAAUGUUGAGAAAUUAGUUACCGUUCAAAUUGGUGCCAAGGCUCUCCAGUUUGGAUUUUGUUUCUCUGGACCGUUUCGCAACUUCUUGAAAUCAGGAAGAAAAUUGUUCCAUUUUAAUAAUAUUUUCCGUGCCCAUUUUUAUCGCAUACCUUCUAGUUUCUCCUUGAUAGCCUCAAUGGCCUUGACGUCAUAAUUCGUGCCAUCUUUUCUGAUAGACACUGCCAUUCCAAGAGUUGCGUCUGAAAAGCAAAGAAUAUUAGUUUAAACAAAAUUGUUGAAUAAUAAUUUAAUUUCACUUUUCAAGUCCAUAUUCAUAGCCUCAAGUUUGGUCUUCGUGUCUGUCAAGUCUUUCGUAGUUCUCUCCAGUGUUUGGGUGGUGCCUGGAAUGAAAUAGAGUAGAUUCCAUUUAAUUUUCUUUUGUAAAAUAGUUCAUCAAUUUAAAGAUUAUUACCAAACAGGAUGGUAUUCAGAUCCUCAACUUUUGUGUUGGUUUUUGUUAAAUUCUUGGCAGUUUCUGCGUGAAAGUAUUUUUUUUUAAUCUUUUCAGAUUUUUGUUUAAACGAAGAAUGGAAUAUUACCGCUUAGUUUUGUCAUUAGCUCUCCUAAUUGAACCUUCGUUUCAGCUGAUCCCUUCGAUGUUGCUACAAGAUUACGAUGCGCGGUUAUACGAUUGUCUUCGGCGCCAAUUCGAAUUAUUAAUUAUCUUACCUUGCAAAUCUGUUUUGAUACCGCGAACUUCGGUCUUCGUAUCCGCUAAAUCUUUCGAAGUGGCUGCCAAAUUUUGAAGAGUACCUACGGAUUAAAAGUUACUUAAUUUCCGCGACCAAUUUUCAAUAAUUAAUUUCUCACACCUUCCAAUUCGGUACUCAAAUUGACAAUUUUCGUCUUGGUGUCGGCCACGUCCUUUGUUGUUCCAGUCAACCGCCUGAUUGUAUCUGCGCAUCACAUUCCACGUUUGUGUUCUCAAGUUUUCCCUUGGUGACGUUCAGAUCUUUCGUAGUUUCGUCGAGACAUCGGGUAGUGACUGCAGAUCACGUUUUGCCAUCAAAUCGCCGACUUUGACCUUCGUUUCAGCUGAACCUUGAGAUGUUGCUAUACACGUCAUCGUCGUAAACGCCUUUGAGUUACUGCAGCCUCGCGUACCGUCCAACUGUGCUGUCAGGUCAUCAACUCUCGUCUUGGUGUCCGCCAAAUCCUUUGUCGUAGCUGUCAACCAAUUGCUGGUACCUGCGCAUCGCAAAAAAAGUUCUCAACGGUGAUCUCGAGAAGUUCCAUUCUGGCAAUGAGACCUCGAGUGAAAAUAUUGCGGACUUGAGGCUGUUCAUCAGCUUUUUGUGAAGACCGGAAGCUGGCAACCGUCUGGGUCCCUUUAUUCUUGUUCGAGUGAGCAGCAGGCGCCAGUGAAAAGAUAACAUUAUUUUAUUUUGUUAGAGUCGGCGAAAGAAAAUUCGAGGAAUUAUACGGGUUUAAAGGAAUUCCGAAUUUGAGUAUAUUUAGAAAAUUUACUUGGCACUAUUCAUAAAGUUGUAGGACAACACUGGAAUUUCAGGCUCAGUCAGUCCCAGUCUAAUCAAAGUUGAGUGAUGGAGCCUGAUAAUACAUCUGAGAUUGAACUUGGAAUUUGGAUACACUGAAGUUGUUUAACGAAGUUUUUGUUAUUAAGAGUCGAUUGCAGAGUUCCUGGACUGAGAACGCUGGUAAAACUGACGACAUUAGCCUCGUUGAUCUGCGCAGUCCCGAUCAGAUUUCCGUUCAGCAACAAUUGCACUUGCAUGUAAUUGAAAGCUGAGCCAGAAGCAGGAUAAUUCGCCAAUCCAGCGAAGGUAUAGAAAUAAGUCGCUUUAACGGGUGCCGUAAAUUUCCCAGUUACUAUAUCCAUGGCGCUUCCGGCGUUCAGCGUUUCAAUUUCAAACGGAAUCGGGGUAUUCAUUGUCGAGAAUGUCAUGAUUUUCUGCACGUAAAAUUAGACUGGCGUCGAUUUGACGUCUUCGUAGCCGAUCCAUUGCUGGAAACUUUAUAAUAAAAUUACAAUUUGAAUUAUUCAGGAGAUUAAAGGAACUGAUGAUUACCUAGUCCAUCUGAUGGUUGUGUGAAGUCGCAGUUAACAGUUUCAACUUGUGAACUUCCCAUUACGGAAUAGAGUCCGCUUUUCCUGUAUCCAAUAGCUUUCAAUUCGGCACAGGAGCUGGGAAUUUUUCCGAUGGACGUUGGGUCAUCUGCUGAACAAGAGCAUCUAAACGCUGCGACGUUCGAUUGUGGCCUUUGUUUCUGCCGCAUUUUCUGCAAACGAAAUAAGAGGUACUAAAUUUUUACACUGUCUCGCGCCAUCACACCUUAAACCGUCCACUGCGUUUAUGAUGUCUUCCAGGCGUUGUGAAAUGGAUGCAUUUAAUAAUCGACGGAUGUAAAUGUCUUAUACGGUGAAACAAAGUAAUAACAAAUUACUCACGAUGUUUCAACUUUUUAACCCAAAGAUCGACUAUCAUAGCUAAAAACCCUCGAUAAAACAAAGUUCCCAUUCUAUUGACGGCGAGAUUAGUGAAUGGGUAAGCGCGAUUCGUGUUAACCUCUUUUUCGUGUGCGGAUGAACUGACCGCAAAAUGUUCAGGAUCAUUGGAAGAACUCCAAUCGACCAGUAACUGAGACGAAACGACAAAGUUGUCGCCUGUUUGGAUGUGCAGUGCUGAAUGAACGAUAUUCGACAAGACGGAAGGUCCUUAAUAUAUUUCAUUCUCCGUGUUCCUUUUCGGUCGACUGCCCUGGAGAAACAGCAAAUAGAUCACACCCUGCAUAGCAAAAUGUUCUUUCAUCGGUUCAGUGAUGUUUGCCUCUCCGCCGUGUUCGCGUUCUAGGGUGAAGAAGAUGGCUUUUAUCGGUACAGAUGCUGAUAUUCGAAUGAUAACAGUAGAGGAACUAUGUGACUGAGUAUCAGUGCUGGGAAUCCCCGCAC